AUUCCGCUUCACUAUCUUCGUAUAUCUGCCACACCCGAAGUCUUAUGCUAUAAAAAGGAAGAAGCGGAAGACGAGAGAGGAGAAAUACGAUAGAGAAGAAGAUCAAGAAGUAGAAGUAGAAGAGAAAGAAUCAGCUAAGCGAGCUUCUAUUGAAAAACCAAAAUGGGAGGCCCAACAUAAAGAAGUAGAAGAAGACGAAUUCGGAGCACAUGAACUUAUGGGAAUCCCAAUUGCCCACAGUGAUCAGAAGACGAACAAAAAAAGGGGUUGUUUUUUAUCUUGAGAAGGCUUCUUUGGACGUUGCUAAAGUUGGAAAGAUGGGUAUUAUGCAAAGACCGACCAGUUUCAAACAGUGGGCCAAAAGGGUCCAUUGAGUUCUAGGGAUUAGAGAACUAAGAUUUACGUGAGGGUUGCUCAGAAGAAGGUAGUCUUCUGUGGAGAUGCACCAAAAGACAGCAAGCACGAGCAAGGUAACCGCACCUUUUUGGUUUCAUUAGCCUUAUUUGCACUUGCUGUGAGAUAUUUUGGAUUAAUGCUACAAUGAAAGAUGGUGUGCUCAGAAUGGUCCUUUCGAAGGUUAAGAAGAUCUAGGAGGAUGCAGCAUGUUUUGCUGAGGAACCCAGCUAGCUUCAAAUGGAUCUGGCUUGGUGAUACAGCUACACUCUUUUUGUUGUGCAAGAACACAAAGGUGCCUCUGAAGGCAAGGUAAGCAAAAAUGGUGGUCUAUUUGCGAGGAAGAUGUCAAUGCUUUUUUCAAGGAUGGUUAGAUCCGCUUCAUAGGCACUGACGAGAAUGGUUGAACCUACCUUGGCAGCAUUGUUCCCUUCCUUCCCAUCAAACUCGAGUAUAGCAUGAAAUAUGGAGUUCAUUGAAUCUACUUUUUAGAAUUGAUGUCAUAUGGUAACCUUUUCUACUACUUAUUAGGUUCAAUCUGCUUUAUGAGAUUUACUUGCAUUAAAUUUGGCCUCGAACAUAGACUUUAAUUUUCUAUUGCUUUAGGCAGUUUGAGACACAUUUGAUGAUCAUGGCUAUAUCAAUGGUAUGUUGAUAAGUUUAGAUUGUAUGUAGUAGAGAUAGCUUAAAUGGUCUAUACAAGCUAC
This is a non-coding RNA of Theobroma cacao (cacao), 1100 nucleotides long. Lineage: Eukaryota; Viridiplantae; Streptophyta; Magnoliopsida; Malvales; Malvaceae. The record is from RefSeq and is a predicted model, not a curated record.